AGAAUCAACGCUGGCGGCGUGCCUAACACAUGCAAGUCGAACGAGAAAGGGUAGCAAUACCUGAGUAAAGUGGCGCACGGGUGAGUAACACGUGACUAACCUACCCUGGAGUGGGGGAUAACCUCGGGAAACCGAGGCUAAUACCGCAUAACAUCGCAAGAUCAAAGCAGCAAUGCGCUGGAAGAGGGGGUCGCGGCUGAUUAGCUAGUUGGCGGGGUAAUGGCCCACCAAGGCGAAAGAUCGGUA
This 246-nucleotide ribosomal RNA is filed under the name uncultured bacterium. RNAcentral's name for it is "partial small subunit ribosomal RNA". It matches the Rfam family "Bacterial small subunit ribosomal RNA", at positions 26 to 285 of the family's 1533-position model. The record is from RNAcentral.